This 561-nucleotide ribosomal RNA is filed under the name uncultured bacterium. RNAcentral's name for it is "bacterial SSU rRNA". It matches the Rfam family "Bacterial small subunit ribosomal RNA", at positions 337 to 916 of the family's 1533-position model. The record is from RNAcentral.
UCCUACGGGAGGCAGCAGUGGGGAAUCUUAGACAAUGGGCGCAAGCCUGAUCUAGCCAUGCCGCGUGAGUGAUGAAGGCCCUAGGGUCGUAAAGCUCUUUCGCCAGGGAUGAUAAUGACAGUACCUGGUAAAGAAACCCCGGCUAACUCCGUGCCAGCAGCCGCGGUAAUACGGAGGGGGUUAGCGUUGUUCGGAAUUACUGGGCGUAAAGCGUACGUAGGCGGAUUAGUAAGUUAGAGGUGAAAUCCCAGGGCUCAACCCUGGAACUGCCUUUAAUACUGCUAGUCUUGAGUUCGAGAGAGGUGAGUGGAAUUCCGAGUGUAGAGGUGAAAUUCGUAGAUAUUCGGAGGAACACCAGUGGCGAAGGCGGCUCACUGGCUCGAUACUGACGCUGAGGUACGAAAGUGUGGGGAGCAAACAGGAUUAGAUACCCUGGUAGUCCACACCGUAAACGAUGAAUGCCAGACGUCGGGUAGCAUGCUAUUCGGUGUCACACCUAACGGAUUAAGCAUUCCGCCUGGGGAGUACGGUCGCAAGAUUAAAACUCAAAUGAAUUGACGG